GUCUACGGCCAUUCCACCCUGAACACACCCAAUCUUGUCUGAUCUCGGGAGCUAAGCAGGGUUGGGCCUGGUUAGUACUUGGAUGGGAGAAAACUAAUUGAGCUUUUGUUU
RNAcentral lists this ribosomal RNA (111 nucleotides) under Castor canadensis (American beaver). The record is from RNAcentral. Lineage: Eukaryota; Metazoa; Chordata; Mammalia; Rodentia; Castoridae.